Molecule: long non-coding RNA, 586 nt
Organism: Lagopus muta (rock ptarmigan)
Lineage: Eukaryota; Metazoa; Chordata; Aves; Galliformes; Phasianidae
Exons: 5
Source: RefSeq, a predicted model, not a curated record
UUUCAGAGCUGAAAGAUUUCCCUCGCCUUUUCCUUCAUGUUCCAGAAUCCCCGGAGGUUUGUCAUCAAACAUCCUCAUUUGUGACCCCCAAGGAAAAGGUAAAAGAGCUGCUUCUCAGUCUUUUCUGUCCAGGAGACUCAGCACUUUCAGAAAUCAGUUGUUUGAAGAGGUCCCAAACAUCUGUGCCCAGGAAUUUGAAUUGAAUUCAGGCCCUGAAUUGAUCCUGCAAGCUUCCCAUGGGAAGAUCUAGACUCUCCAAGGACAUCUCAGUCUACCAAAGCUGUAAACACCUGGAAACCCAAACAGUGUCAGCAAAACACAGCGCUGUUCUCAUGCUCAUCAGCCCAUGAGAGAAGCUGACUGAAGAUUGUGGUGACUGGACCUCAAAACUGCCCCAGCACAUUUAACUUCAAGAAAGAGUCAGCUGUUUUGUCAGCAUUCUUGCAGCAGCCUGAAUUGUGCUGAAGUGAGCAAAUUAAGGGAAUAAGGGGCUCAUUUACUGAUGCUGGAGAAUUCUGUUUCCUGGAGACCUGGCAAACGUGAUCAGAAGAACUCACAGGUGGUAUUGUACCAAAGGUUUGUUCAG